UACGUAGGUGGCGAGCGUUAUCCGGAAUGAUUGGGCGUAAAGGGUGCGCAGGCGGAUUUUUAAGUCAGCGGUCAAAUCGUGGGGCUCAACCCCAUCCAGCCGUUGAAACUGGGGAUCUAGAGUGUGCGAGAGGUAUGCGGAAUGCGUGGUGUAGCGGUGAAAUGCAUAGAUAUCACGCAGAACCCCGAUUGCGAAGGCAGCUUACCGGCGCUCAACUGACGCUGAGGCACGAAAGUGCGGGUAUCGAACAGG
RNAcentral lists this ribosomal RNA (252 nucleotides) under uncultured Bacteroidales bacterium. Its description in RNAcentral is "partial 16S ribosomal RNA". It matches the Rfam family "Bacterial small subunit ribosomal RNA", at positions 524 to 776 of the family's 1533-position model. Lineage: Bacteria; Pseudomonadati; Bacteroidota; Bacteroidia; Bacteroidales. The record is from RNAcentral.